GUAAGGUAGUGGCCUACCAAGGUUAUAACGGGUAACGGGGAAUCAGGGUUCGAUUCCGGAGAGGGAGCCUGAGAAACGGCUACCACAUCCAAGGAAGGCAGCAGGCGCGCAAAUUACCCAAUCCAGACACUGGGAGGUGGUGACGAGAAAUACCGGGUCGUGCCCAAAAGGUUUCGACACUGGAAUGAGUGCAAUUUAAAAAUUUCAACGAGUAACAACUGGAGGGCAAGUCUGGUGCCAGCAGCCGCGGUAAUUCCAGCUCCAGUAGUGUAUCUUAAAGUUGCUGCGGUUAAAACGCUCGUAGUUGGACAAGAGAGUGAUCAAGUGCGGGCGGGGAGUAAGCCUACUCUGUACUGGCUAGGAUGGCUGGGUUGCAUCUACGGAUGUUAGCUUGGCUGUCUGACUGCUAGGCAGCAGUACUACUUGUCGACCAUGCUGCUUGGUUACUUGUUUGUUCGUGAGAAUAUCAUAUGGCCUUAACUGUGCUGUGUGAUGUAUCUUACGUAGUGUGCCUUGAAUAAAUCAGAGUGCUCAAAGCAAGCUUACGCUUGAAUGUUAAUAGCAUGGAACGAAUGUUUUGUGAAAGCACAAGCAGUGAAGUAUUCGUACUAUCGUUACUUGUGCAGCACCAACUCCGAAUCGGAACAUUGGUAGCCGAAUUCGGGUGAUGAUUAAGAGGGGCAUUUGGGGGCAUUAGUAUUUGGACGCGAGAGGUGAAAUUCUUGGACCGUCCAAGGACUAACAAGUGCGAAAGCAUUUGCCAAGUAUGUUCCCUUUAAUCAAGAACGAAAGUGAGAGGUUCGAAGACGAUCAGAUACCGUCCUAGUUCUCACCGUAAACGAUGCCAACCCGGGAUCAGCUCGGAUGGUAAAUUGUGGAUCCAG
This 884-nucleotide ribosomal RNA is filed under the name Cystodiscus axonis. Its description in RNAcentral is "SSU rRNA". It matches the Rfam family "Eukaryotic small subunit ribosomal RNA", at positions 328 to 1079 of the family's 1831-position model. The record is from RNAcentral. Lineage: Eukaryota; Metazoa; Cnidaria; Myxozoa; Bivalvulida; Myxidiidae.